Long non-coding RNA from Mytilus trossulus (common blue mussel), 1008 nucleotides. RefSeq lists it as uncharacterized. The transcript is spliced from 5 exons. NCBI's taxonomy places the organism in Eukaryota, Metazoa, Mollusca, Bivalvia, Mytilida, Mytilidae. The record is from RefSeq and is a predicted model, not a curated record.
AGAAAGGCCGUAUCAUACCGUCACUGUAAUAACUGGAGUAUUAGAAUAUGAAUUGAAUGAGUUUCUGGUCAAGAAUGGUCUCUCCAUGUUGUCUCAGCCCCUCAUUGUCAACGCCACAGUCGGUGGAAUGGUAGCCUCAUCUACUCAUGGUUCAACCUGGAGUGCUCCAACUUGGAGUGGUUAUGUGGUGGAGAUGCGCUUAGUAAACGCUCGCGGUCGAUUGCGACGUUUCUCCAAAGAAGAACACCCAGAACUUAUGGAGGCACUUAUGUGUAAUCUAGGAAUGAUGGGAGUCAUGUAUGACAUCACAAUCCAAGUCAACGGGACGCUUAUUGCUAAAGUACAAAAUCAAUAUGUACCGUUAGAAGAUUUGUUCUAUAAUCAAACUAACUUAAAAAAACGUAGUGACGUCACAUUUCCUUACGGAAAUAUCUUGGUAUCCAUUCAAUUCUGUAACUCCAGAAGAGGAAGCAGUGUUUAGACAUAAUAAAACAGUUCUCAACUCUUGGACAGUUAGAAGAGACAUUGUGUGGCUAAGAACAAUUGUAUUGGUCAAUACUAUACCUGAUGACCACGUGAUACAAGGUCCAGUCUAUUUACCAACCGGGGGAUCAAUAUCGGGUGGAAAUGAAGCAGGAAUACUGAGAGGAAAGGGUGCACUUAACAUAGCAAAGCUGCUUCCGUCGGAGAGUUAUCAUUACUUGGUAGAUGCAUUUCCCACCAUUUUACCGCCAAAGCAUGGAUCGGAAACCAGUGCCGCUUUUGUAUUGAAUAUUGAUAAUUCAUUUUCACGUCCUCUCCGAGCAUUCAAGUUUAUGGCAGAAAAAGUAGAAAACCAAAUCAAAUCUUUAGGAUCAUCUCCAAUGAACACUUUCCUUCCACGAUUUCUACAAAACAUGGAUUGUUUGUUGUGUUUUGGAAACAACGGGAUUAGGCAAGACGACGAUUCUGGACGUUCUAUGGUAAUCGACUUUCUAGCUCCGCCCACACAGUUCGGAUUUUAUGAUA